UGCGUAGGUGGGUUGGUAAGUCAGUGGUGAAAUCUCUAGGCUUAACCUGGAAACUGCCAUUGAUACUAUCAAUCUUGAAUACCUUGGAGGUGAGCGGAAUAUGUCAUGUAGCGGUGAAAUGCUUAGAUAUGACAUAGAACACCAAUUGCGAAGGCAGCUCACUACACGGUCAUUGACACUGAGGCACGAAAGCGGUGGGGAUCAAAC
This 207-nucleotide ribosomal RNA is filed under the name uncultured bacterium. RNAcentral's name for it is "partial 16S ribosomal RNA". It matches the Rfam family "Bacterial small subunit ribosomal RNA", at positions 568 to 773 of the family's 1533-position model. The record is from RNAcentral.